Molecule: small RNA, 627 nt
Filed under: Pongo abelii (Sumatran orangutan)
Lineage: Eukaryota; Metazoa; Chordata; Mammalia; Primates; Hominidae
Description: processed transcript
Source: RNAcentral
GUAGUAGGUAUGGAGAAGCCAAGGGAGGCACUGAGCCUCUCCUGUUCCUAGAACAAGUUAGGCUCCUGUUCCUUCACCCACCUUUCUUCUUGUCUAGCUCCCUACUUCUGUGAGUUAGCAUGUCGGAAGGGUGGGGCAGGGAGAGUAGGUCCCUGGUUCUCCAGGUCCUAGGGAUCCAUGCCUUCCAGUAUGUCAUCUAUGGAACUGCCUCUUUCUUCUUCCUUUAUGGGGCCCUCCUGCUGGCUGAGGGCUUCUACACCACCGGCGCAGUCAGGCAGAUCUUUGGCGACUACAAGACCACCAUCUGCGGCAAGGGCCUGAGCGCAACGGUAACAGGGGGCCAGAAGGGGAGGGGUUCCAGAGGCCAACAUCAAGCUCAUUCUUUGGAGCGGGUGUGUCAUUGUUUGGGAAAAUGGCUAGGACAUCCCGACAAGUUUGUGGGCAUCACCUAUGCCCUGACCGUUGUGUGGCUCCUGGUGUUUGCCUGCUCUGCUGUGCCUGUGUAUAUUUACUUCAACACCUGGACCACCUGCCAGUCUAUUGCCUUCCCCAGCAAGACCUCUGCCAGUAUAGGCAGUCUCUGUGCUGAUGCCAGAAUGUAUGGUGUUCUCCCAUGGAAUGCUUUCC